RNAcentral lists this long non-coding RNA (929 nucleotides) under Equus caballus (horse). Its description in RNAcentral is "lncRNA (ENSECAG00000051594.1)". Lineage: Eukaryota; Metazoa; Chordata; Mammalia; Perissodactyla; Equidae. The record is from RNAcentral.
GCACGGACCUUCUGGCAUUCUCUCCUCAUUCUCUCUUUCUCCUUUUCUCCCUCUCUCGUUCUCCUUUUCCCUUUUCCCCUCCCCCUCCCUCCCUCCCUUUAUAGGGGUGUAUCCGCAGAGUCUUCAGUGAGCCAGGGUACCUAGACGAGAGGAUUAUUAUACAGAAAGGCAGGGCGGUUUUACUGGCUGCUUCGUCUCACUCUGUUGAAAUCCUUAGGCAACGCAUGCAAAGGACCCUUUCCGGUUAACGCCCUGACUUCUGGUAUAAUGCCUUUUCAUUUUGGCCCAGAAAGCACACCAUCCUUCAUUCAGAAGUAACACCGAGAGUUGAUGUGUUGCCAUCAUUAAUCACAGGACUUUAAUCUUCAGCAGCUUUGCAGUGUAUAAAAAGUGUUAUCAAAUAAAUCCACCGUACCAAGAGCUUAACCGGGUAACGAUUACCUCUCCCAGAUGCCUACCACAGCAUGGUGUGCCAAGCAGUGCCAUGGCUGCACCCCGGAUCUGAACCGGCGAACCCCAGGCCGCUGAGAAGUGGAACGUGUGCACUUAAUUGCUGUGCCACCAGGCUGGCCCCAAAACACGUGAUUCUUAGAGAUUAGCCGUGAGCUAACUGCUGCCAAUCCUUCUCUUUUUGCUGAAGAAGACUGGCCCUGAGCUAACAUCUGUGCCCAUCUUCCUCUACUUUAUAUGUGGGAUGCCUACCACAGUGUGGCAUGCCAAGCGAUGUCAUGUCUGCACCUGGGAUCUGAAUCAGCAAACCCCGGGCCGCUGAGAAGCAGAACAUGUGCACUUAACUGCUGCGCCACCAGGCCGGCCCUGAUUACAUUAUUUUUCACCUUUUACAGUUUACAUUAGGCUCUGAAGAUUUUAUAAAUUUUUUUUGUUUUAAAAUGUUUUAAAUAAAUUAAAGAUUAAUUUCAAACAAAAAC